RNAcentral lists this ribosomal RNA (256 nucleotides) under uncultured bacterium. RNAcentral describes it as "partial 16S ribosomal RNA". It matches the Rfam family "Bacterial small subunit ribosomal RNA", at positions 334 to 586 of the family's 1533-position model. The record is from RNAcentral.
UGUUCCUACGGGACGCAGCAGUGAGGAAUAUUGGUCAAUGGCCGAGAGGCUGAACCAGCCAAGUCGCGUGAGGGAUGACGGCCCUACGGGUUGUAAACCUCUUUUGUCGGGGAGCAAGACCCGCCUCGUGCAGGCGGAGCGAGAGUACCCGAAGAAAAAGCAUCGGCUAACUCCGUGCCAGCAGCCGCGGUAAUACGUAGGUGGCAAGCGUUGUCCGGAUUUAUUGGGCGUAAAGUGAGUGGAGGCGGUUGACUAA